AGAAGCGAGACGGAGACGUUAAGCGAAACCCAAAAAAAGUAAGUCUCAGUUCGGAUUGAAGGCUGAAAUUCGCCUUCAUGAAGCCGGAAUUGCUAGUAAUGGCAGGUCAGCAUACUGCCGUGAAUACGUUCCCGGGCCUUGUACACACCGCCCGUCACACCAUGAGAGUUGGGAAUACCCGAAGCCUGUGAGCUAACGUAAGAGGCAGCAGUCGAAGGUAGAAUCAAUGAUUGGGGUGAAGUCGUAACAAGGUAUC
Molecule: ribosomal RNA, 256 nt
Filed under: uncultured bacterium
Lineage: Bacteria
Description: partial 16S ribosomal RNA
Rfam family: Bacterial small subunit ribosomal RNA
Source: RNAcentral